RNAcentral lists this ribosomal RNA (710 nucleotides) under uncultured Methylobacillus sp. RNAcentral's name for it is "bacterial SSU rRNA". It matches the Rfam family "Bacterial small subunit ribosomal RNA", at positions 72 to 778 of the family's 1533-position model. Lineage: Bacteria; Pseudomonadati; Pseudomonadota; Betaproteobacteria; Nitrosomonadales; Methylophilaceae. The record is from RNAcentral.
ACGGGUGCUUGCACCUGGUGGCGAGUGGCGAACGGGUGAGUAACAUAUCGGAACGUGCCCAGUAAUGGGGGAUAACUAGUCGAAAGAUUAGCUAAUACCGCAUACGCCCUGAGGGGGAAAGCGGGGGACCGUAAGGCCUCGCGUUAUUGGAGCGGCCGAUAUCUGAUUAGCUAGUUGGUGGGGUAAAGGCCUACCAAGGCGACGAUCAGUAGCUGGUCUGAGAGGAUGAUCAGCCACACUGGAACUGAGACACGGUCCAGACUCCUACGGGAGGCAGCAGUGGGGAAUUUUGGACAAUGGGCGCAAGCCUGAUCCAGCCAUUCCGCGUGAGUGAAGAAGGCCUUCGGGUUGUAAAGCUCUUUCGCAAGGGAAGAAAACUUACCUUUUAAUAGAGGGUGAGGUUGACGGUACCUUGAUAAGAAGCACCGGCUAACUACGUGCCAGCAGCCGCGGUAAUACGUAGGGUGCGAGCGUUAAUCGGAAUUACUGGGCGUAAGCGUGCGCAGGCGGUUUUGUAAGUCAGAUGUGAAAGCCCCGGGCUCAACCUGGGAACUGCGUUUGAAACUACAAGGCUAGAGUAUGGGAGAGGGGGGUAGAAUUCCACGUGUAGCAGUGAAAUGCGUAGAGAUGUGGAGGAAUACCAAUGGCGAAGGCAGCCCCCUGGCCUAAUACUGACGCUCAUGCACGAAAGCGUGGGGAGCAAACAGGAU